RNAcentral lists this ribosomal RNA (268 nucleotides) under uncultured bacterium. RNAcentral describes it as "partial large subunit ribosomal RNA". It matches the Rfam family "Bacterial small subunit ribosomal RNA", at positions 565 to 831 of the family's 1533-position model. The record is from RNAcentral.
GAGCACGUAGGUGGGUUUGUAAGUCGGGUGUGAAGGCCCCUGGCUCAACCAGGGAACUGCAUUUGAUACUGUGAGGCUUGAGGACAGGAGGGGAGAGUGGAACUUCUGGUGGAGCGGUGAAAUGCGUAGAUAUCAGAAGGAACGCCGGCGGCGAAAGCGAUUCUCUGGCCUAUAACUGACACUGAGUGUGCGAAAGCUAGGGGAGCAAACGGGAUUAGAUACCCCGGUAGUCCUAGCCGUAAACGAUGGGCACUAAGUAGAGGGGUUU